GCAUGCAGCCAGGUGGGAGAAGCCUGCCUGGUGCGGCGUGCUAGGGAACCUGGGGUUGUGUUCGCCUUGCCCAGUGGAAGAACCUUUCUGAGGAGGAGCUUUCAUCAGUGCUGACAGUUCCUGUUUAGGGUAAACGGGGAGUUUGAUCACAUGUAAGCAGCCCUCCUUAGAUUCUACCCCUGGGGACUGGACUCCUAUCACAGCCACUUUCUGAUCCCCUUUAAUUUAUUCAAGUCUAUUCCAUUUCUUAUGUUUGAGAUGGCUCUAUAGAGGGUAAUGAACCAAAAUGAUAAAAUCCUGAUUGAAAUCUUAGCUCUGCCACUUGGGCAGCUGUAAUCAGCUAAGUUGGCUUCACUGAGAUGAAAAAUUCUCUCUUACAAAAAGGAACAAAUACAUGACAGCUAUUUUGAGAAUUGAAUAAGAUAAUCUAUAAGAACAAGCUCUACACAGUACAAAUGCUAUGCUAUUGAAAAUACCAAUGGCAUUAUUGUCCCGCUCCUCUGUGGUCUGAUGGAGCAGUGGGAGAUGCUUCAGAAGCCCAUUCAGCCAAGCUGCCCUCUGGGGCAAGCCACUGUCCACAGCUCCCACGGGACCUGCUGUUUAUCCUAGUCUUCCUUUGCACGGAAGCAGUAUGUGGUUUCCCAGGAUGAGUAAAAGCAUCUUAGCCAACCCUGCUGAAUACAGAAGGGAAUGGGAAGCAGGGAAGGAGUGGUAAUUGGAGGGGAGGGUGGGGGGAGGAAACCAUAAUACUUUUAUAUGUGAAGGCCCAACUGGGCAGGCUCUGCCGGGAUGGGGCACCUCCGUCUCCUUUCCACUGAGCGCCAGCAAUCACUGGGCAGAGUUGCCUGCACUGCCUUUGUGGACAAGAAAGAAACCAUUGAAGGGUGAAUUUCAACUAGUGAGCCUCCAUCAUUCCUUUGUGGUGUAAAGGAUAAGAAAUGCAGAUACACACAAAGCAGUGUAUCUCAGGAGAGCCAGUGAGAGGACACCACCCCAAACAUUACUUGCACAUCCUAAGAUUUGCCUGAUAUUUUUUUUACACAAAGACCACAUUACCCACAAGAAUGUAUCAAGUAAGAAACCAUUGAAAAUCAUCAAAACCUUCCCACUGUGAAUCAGUAGAAACAGGCUUUGAAGCAGAGGCAGCUCUGAAGUGAUGGGGGAAAUUUGGGCACCGACAGUCACCUUGGCACGUACACUGCGCUAUUCUCAGACUUGCUGAGCCUUCCUGCCGCCUCCCUAUCACUUCUCACCUGUCUGGUCUGAAAGCACAUUUGAACUCGGCUUUCUUGGAAGCGAAAACAAGCAUGUGAUGGAAUAUACACUACUCCUGCCUUUGAUGUCUCUUCGCCAACAUGGCAAUAUCUGAUUUCUCUACAUAUCUGGAUUCUUCAGUCCUCACCUAAAACACCUCCAUGUAAGUCACUGGCACACUAUAUCUGGGACAUAGAAGGUUGGGAGGGAAAAAUAAAAGAAACAGACUAAUAGUAUGAAGGUCCUAGCUUAGACAACAGUUCUUGAAGUGGCAUCGUCUACUCAUUUUAGCCUAAAAUAGACCUUUUUGUCACCAGUCAGAGUUUGUUUAGGAAAUGCAAGCUAAUUUUAAUAUUGGAGUGUUACAAUGAUUGAGAAUGUGAGUCUGUGGCUUAUAUAUACACACCCACACUCUGGCUUUUUUUUUCUUCCCCUAUGUUCCAUGUCACUGAUACAGCCUGUAAUUAGGAGGAAUGGAGAGCUGGCAAUAUAAUUACUUUCAGACCUUCAGAUUAAUCAAUGAGGGUAAAGACUAAGCAAGGUGAACACAAAGUCUGCGGAUGCAGGUAAAGGUGCUAAUGUGUCUACAGAAGCUGUGACUUUGCUCUACGAGUUGAAUAGAGUUCGGUGAUCUGCAGGCCAAUCAGCCCUUUUGCCUGUGUCCCUUGUUAAAGAAUCACCCGCCCCAGCAGCUAUCAAAAAUAUCAGUAGAGACUUAGAAAACGUCUGCAUUUCAUAUCUUGCCAUUAGGGAGGAUGGCCCUUUUACUAAGGAAAAAACAAAAACACUUUGAGGGUUUACAUCCUUUACGGAACUCACAUGGAGUCCAAAUUCAAGAAAGUGAAGGCAAGCCAGUUCCUUUCCAGCUUCACGUGGCUGUGUCAACGUUUACCUGCUGUUAUCUAUAAAGGCAAAUGAUUCUUUCAAAGACAAUGACAGCACCUUUCAUUACGGCUUCCUGUGCCUCCGGGAGCAUCACAUUGGCUUGGUCAGCAGUAGGACCUUCUACCUGGAGGCAGAACGUGUUAUGGAGAUGGUUUAGGCAGGAGGCUGGGUGAGAUGGUUUCACAUGAACCUGGGGGUUUGCAUUCUGCUCUUUCCUGCUUCUGUCCUGUGGCCCAUGCUCUUCUUCCCACCAGGCAGUUUACCUUCCUUCCUCCAGCUGUGCACAGGUGGGUGCCCUCCAUCUGUCAGGGCCAAUUCAAGUUCCCCCACCUCUGUGAGGCUUUACCGGAUUGUGCCAGCCAAGACUCUGUCCUUCCUGUGGGUUAUUUACCCUGCCUCUCAGAUCAAUGCACAGAUACAGUGUCUUCAUUAAGAGACUGUAAUUCUUCAAGGGCAAGGAACAUAUUUUAUAUCCCUUUUAUUCCCAUUAUAUCCCCAUGCCACCCUACCCAUGUAUAUACCUGGCUCAUUCACAUAUUUUACCUCCUAAAAGGUACAUACUAUACUCUAAUAAUACUAAUCCUUUUUAAAUAAUCGAGUUUCAGUGAAAGGGACAAAAAAUGGAGAGUUGAGGGGGUGGCAAUUUUCACUUUUAGGACCUUAUAUCUUUAUUCAACAGCUAAUAUAAAAUAAAAAAAGCUUUUUAAAAAUAUUUCCUAUGCCAAAAUCCACACAGUUUUGUAAGAGUACUAUUUGCAAUUUAAAUAUGUGGGCCAUAAGGUGCCAAAACUUUAAGCUUAUUUAAAGAAUAUCAGUCCUGAUUUGGAAACGGUUUUUAAAAUCAUCCCGUCACAAAAAGAUCUAACAUACACUGUCUAUUCUCUAGCUCUCCCCAUUUCACCUACCCUUUUACUCACGAGGAGCAGGAAAAAAAAAAUCUGCCUGCAAGAAAUAUUCUCAACUCCUUCCUGCCCCAGACACAACUUUGUAAGGCAUGCAAUUACCAUGAGGACAGGAGAAAGACAACUUUCUCUUCUGCUUGCUGUCUAACUUCUUUAAAAUUAUCUUGGAAAUCCUUUAAAAUUCUUUAUUUCACACAUUACCUACCUUCUCUAAGCCGUGUCUCUGAUACUACGAGGAAAAUGCUCCAAAGGCAAAGUAAUAACCUUAAAGAUAGCCUGAAUCCCUCCUUGCUCUUAGAAAUGUUUGCUCUCUUCCCCACCUCAUUUCCUGCUGCAACUGUUUGCCCAAACACAGCAGAUCGAAACUAGGCAGCUGCCCUAAGAAUGAAAACUAACCAAUCUCAGACAUCUGAAUUAGCUGCAGGUCACCACGUUGGCUCUGCGGGGAUAAAAUCACCUGCUGUUUCACUGGGCCCCAGAGCGAGCCUCCAGGACAGGAUCGGACAGGGAGCAAGAGCAGGUAAAGGAGCAAAGCAGGAAGAUCAGUGUGAGAAUUGAAACGACAACGCAUUUCAUGCAAAGAAGGGGACUCCAGACACGGCAGUGCUUGGGUCAGAUGUUCUCUCUGAGCAGACCUCUAUCACAAGGAUGCUAUCUGCUGUGGAACGAAGUCCAUUCCGUGUGCCAGUGCACAUUUGCACAACACAUGAUGUGGAAUAGUCUCUGGAGCCAAAACUGGUUCUCUAUCCACCCUGGGGCAGGUCGAUCAUUUUCCAGUGUAAACCUCCUUGGGAGUAACCACUUAUUCCAGUGUAGUGCGCUGGGUAAUUAAUACCAUAUCUCUUCCAGACAGCUUUGUACGUCAUGCACGUGGGUGAAGACUCAAAAGCUUUCCUUUUCAGAGAUCUGUCUGGAUGAGACAGAGAAAUCUGUUGCUGUUUGAAACAGAAGUCAUCCCCCUGUACCGGUGUGUGCCUUGCAGUGCAGUGAGCUUGUGAGGGGCCUGUGGGACUUACAGGGCAAGAGCUUAUCAGUAAGAGGGGAGAUAAGAGCGCAUGUGAGGAUACAGCAGUGAUAUCUGAGGCCUUAAUGCUGGACGAGCAGGGCUGUGCACCUCCCUUUAGCAGUCUGGAGAGAACUGAGGCAAGAGCUUGUGUUCCCGCAGGCUCUGCAUUCUGAGGUUGGGGAUAUGGAAGAAUGCCACCGUCGGGGUGGAAUAACCUGAGUUCUUUACAAGAUGAGGGUUUCUGUGUAUUUUUCCAAAGUGGUAGAAAUUUUCCUCAUCUAAUCUCUUUCAGAGCAGGCAUCCUUGGACCAAUAGUCUGCCUUCUCCCAAUUCCUCCUCUGGGUUUAUUUCUGAAACCUUUGCUUAAAAACAAAACUAACUUUUUAAAAGAACGUUUUUAGAAACUUCAUAUCUGUCAUUUCUCCUUUUUUUAAAAAUUUUGUGCAGCUCUAAAAUUGCUUUCUAUUUAUCCCUAAAUUUUUCUCCCAUAUCAGUUUACCACUUCUCAUGGGUUGACUUGGCUGUCCCACUAGUCAAAUUGCUUUUUGAUAAAUUACUAUGGACAGCACUUAAGAUUACAAGUAAACCUUAAAUAUGUGAUAUUUCUCAUACUUAAUUCCACAUUUGCUAUUCUUUGAGGAAGGUUACCCUGGCAUUCCCUUCCGUGAACUCUGUGAAAUCGGAAUAACCACCAACCGUAAGAUUAAACAUUCUGAUAAAUUCUUUACAUGUUCCAAGCCACCCACACAAUGUUAUGGACCAAUGUUUGUGUCCCUGCCCCAAAUGCGUAUGUUGAGGCCCUACCCCCCAGCGUGAUGGUAUUAGGAGGCGAGCCUUUGGGAGGUAAUUAGAUUUAGAUGAGGUCAUGAGGGUGAAGCCCUCAUGGUGGGGUUAGUGUUUUAUAAGAAAAGGAAGAGACCCCAAGCUUCUCUUGCCUCACACACGUGCCGAAGAGGUCCCGGGAGCACGCGGGGAGAAGCCACUUACAAACCAAGAGAAGAGGCCUUAGAAUAAAACCAGCCCUUGCCAGCACCCUGGCCUUAGAGUUAGUUCUCAGCCCCCUGAACUGUGAGAAAUUAAUUUCUAUUGUUUAAGCCACCCAGUCUGUGGUAUUUUAUUCUGGCAGCCUGAGUUGACUAAAAGACACACAACUAGAAAGUUUCAGCCACGUGCAUGUCUCCCCAAUUUUAAGUCCAGAUUCUGAGACCCAGAGAAUGAAGGGGCUUGUUGAACCUUCCAUGGACAACCUGUUGUAAAAACAAUUCAGGCAUUGAAUACCAAACAGCCUCUGGAAAUAUUGCCAAAGCUUUUCUCUCCUUCAAAUCACCUCUACAAGUUCAGCCUCUUAGGAAACUUUAUGAAAACUGGUGAGAAAAUGCUGAACAAUUAUUUAAACAUUAAUGCCAAAUGGAAAAGAUGAUGUGUAAAAUAAAAAACUGUUGCUAAUUGCUUGUGUUCAUAGUUCCAUAGGCCUCUCAGCUACCUGCACUGAUACCAGGAGGUAAUAAAGAAAUUCCAGCUGUUCACUGAGAAGCACCUAAGGUCAAGUGUCUGUCAUAAGCUGCCACUUAGGAAAUGCCUGUCUGUCUUCCCUCCCAGCUGUGAACCCCCUGAAGGCAGAUUGUUUUGUUUGCCAUAGUUUAUAUAGUAAACUAUAAUUUACACCAUGUGACUUCACUAUGUAUUCUUUACAUAUUCUGUCAUUUCACAAAUUCUCAGAAGCCUGGACUAGUUCCUCUAUCUUCUCCACACAGGCACAUGGCAGACUUUCCCUGCACACAGUUGCUUGACCUAUAAAUGAAUCUGGCAGCUUCUUGUUGCCUUCUGCUCUGAAACCAUCCCGACUUCUCAGAGUGAUACCAAAGGAGGGUCUCCCGGGCAAGCUUUGCAGCCUCUACAGCCUUUGUCUGAAACUCCUGCAGCUCCGACGGGCCUGUCGCCACAGUAAUCAGCUACCUCCUGACCCCACUGCUUUCUGAGACUGACUGUCUAAUCUGAGGUGGGAAUGUCCCCGGAGGCAGACCCCAGACUGGCAGCUCUUCACUCUGACCCAUCCAGAAGCAAAUAUCCAGCUGGAAGCUUUUGCUUGCUGGGGUGGAAGGGCCUCUUUAACUGCAGGAGGAGUUCUGAUGAAUUCUGGACUCAAAAGGGUGUUGCUUUUUUUCCCCCAACAGACAUGCUCUCCAAUCCCCAAACCAGCCCCUGGUGAAAGUUGGCCUUUUAGCCUUUUGUAUCACAUUCUCUGUUGUUUAUAAUGCUGGGCGAAGAUGGGAGGGAACAAUAACGCCAGAGGAUUUGGGUGAUCUUCCUGUCAGUAGGGAGGUAUGUGGAAAAAGAAGGCAUGGAGGGAGGGAGCAGAAAGCCAGCUUCGUGGGAUCUGUUGACAUCUAAUGGCUGGAACAGAUUGCUUCAGCUCACAGGAACACAGAGCACCAUAAAUGGGUGCUGAUUUCAAUCUUAAAAGAACCACUCCUUCCCACAGGAAAGCAGGUGGCUAAUAGUACCCAUAAGACCCGUAUACACUGUGCCUAUUUAAUUCUUCAGUCAUAUAAAGGCAAAGAAAGAACCAUUUCAAAGAUGAGCUUUUUAAAAAAGGUCACCAUUUCUCUGUUGGGAAUUGUCACAGGGGAGUAAUACGGAUCCUGAAUAAAUUGCCACCCACCCAGAACUCACCCAGAAGGGGAGCCAUGCAAGGGAGGCCCUCACAUUUGCUGGGGCAUCCUGAGGGCUGACAGCUGGUCAUGGUCGCAGUGACCGUGGACAAGUCUCCGGACUUGGUUCCUUCCCGUCCACAUGGAGAGGCUGGGUGCAUGAGACAGGAGGACCCAGGCCAGCCCUGUGACAUCAGUGAGAGAGCACGGGCCAUGUCUCCAGGUCUUGGCCGGUGUCUGGAAUAGUGAAGAUGCUCCCUGAAUGUUUGUCAUGAAAAUAGAUAAAUGAUAGUAUUUCAUUUUGACUUUUAUCUCCAUAGAGAUUUUCUUUGGCCUCCUCUGGGUCUCCAUAUGAGGGAGGAAGGGAAGAAGCUCGGAGAUACUCUUUCUGAGAGGAUGCUCUGCUCUGGGUCCUCACAGAACUGACCACCCAGCUGGGAAGGAAAGUCCAGCAUCGCUGGUACCCAGUGCACUCACUAACCCUGAGACUGGUACAGUCAAAGGGGGCACGCAAUGCCGUCAAUUCCCAGGAGGAGAGAUGUUGGGUUGCUGGCUCCAGUUUUCUGUCUAAGCCCCCGUGUCCUGACAUGAGCACCAACUGGUCACCAGCAUUGACAGAGCUGUGAAUCACUAGUGCACCAAGUCUGUGCUCCUGCAGACCAAGCUCCAAGCCUCUGAUGGCCUCCAAGCCACUGUCUCGCCAGCUCAGAGUGUAACAGAGUAAGUACUUAGCAAAUACAUUUUUAAAACUUUUUAUUUGACAUAAUGAUAAAGAAAAGUUGCAAAAAAAUACAAAGCUCCCAUAUAUCCUCCACCCAUCUUCCCCUUAUGUUAACAGCUCAUAAAAUCAUAGUAAAAUUAUUGAAAUUUUAGGAUAUUAUCAUUGAUCCUAUACUCUUGACUAUAUACAGACUUUAUUUGAAUUUCAGCAAUUUUUCCACUGUGAUAUUGCGAUUUAUAAUACAAAAUUAUGAAAUAGAUAUUUGGUCUUUGUCCCAUUCUUGACACAGAGCUCCUAAAAGCACGAGUUUCCUUUGGUGAAAGAGAUCAAGGUGUCUUUUGUUUUGUUAAUGAGAUAACUUUUGGAAAGUCCCCAGGUAGCCUGAGGAUGGGUCUGGUUGCCAGGGGAACCGACCCUGUGGUUAAAGGUUGGCAUUUUCAGUCCCUCCCCAACCUCAGGAAGAGGAGAGGGGCUGGAAAUUGAGAUCACUUAGCAAUGGCCAAUGAUUAAUCAACCAUGCCCAGUUAAUAAAGCUUCCAUAAAACCCAAAAGAUAUGAUUAGAAUUUGGAGAGCUUCUGGGUGGGUGGACAUGUGGAGAUGCUGGGGUGGGGGCACGGAGCUCUGUGCCCCUCCCGUGUACGUGGCCUGUGCAUUUCUUCCACCUGACCAUUCCUGAGGUCUAUCCUUUUACAAUAAACAGGCACUCUAGUAAGUAUAAUGUUUCUCUGAGUUCUGGGAGCUGCUCUAGCAAAUUAAUGGAGCCCAAGGAGUAGGUCCCAGGAACCUCCAAGCUGCAGCGCAUUGGUCAGAAACACAGGUGACAACUUGGGCUUGGGGUGGGCAUCUGAACAGGAAUGUUUUGCAGGACUGAGGCCUAAACCUGUGGAAUCUGCAGGUGCAUAGUGUCAGAAUUGAGUUAAUUGCUUGGUAGUGUGGAAAAAACACACACUGGUGUCAGAAUCGGACAUACUAAUGUUCUUUUUCUCACCCAGGAUCCCAUCCAAGACCCCAAUGUCUCCUUCAUCUCCUGCAAUCUGUGAGCUAGUUCCUCAGUUUUUCUUUGUCUUUAGUGGCGUUGACACUUUUGAAGAGUUCCAGUCAGUCAUUGUAGAGACUGUCCGGCAGUUUGGAUCUGUCUGCUAUUUUCUCAGGGUUAGAUGGGGUUACGCAUUUUUGGCAAGAAGAAGACAGUGAGUUUGUCCUCCCUGCAUCCUAUCAGCAGGCAUGUGAAUGAUGUGCAUGUGCCUCCCCUGUGAUGUGGACAGUAAUCACUUGAUUAAGGUGGUAUCUGCCAGGUUCCUCUACCCUCGAGUUACUGUUUUUCUCUUUUCAGUUAAAUAAGUGUUGUGUGAGGAGAUGCUGUAGGAUCAAUAGUUUUGAAUAAACCAAUGAAUGUUGGAACAAAAAUCUGAAUCUGAAGGAAAGGCAAUUAAAAGAGCAAUAAUUGUGAGUUCUCAAACUGCAUUAAAAAAUUCAUUAUGGAGGAUAAAAUAGAGAAAAUAAGACAAUAAAUGAAUGAGUCAAAAGCCACCAUCUCAAUAAUGCAGAGAAGAGAGUAAGUCUGGUUACAUAUUUAUGCAGCCAGCCUAUCUUCGUCAUCUCUUCUCUACCUCGUGUCACAUGUUUAUAUUUUAUGAGUGACUGCAGAGGCGUCUGAGGAUAGGGUGACGUAGCACGUUUACCCCUCGUGCUGGAGCACAGUCCUGUGCCGGGGUGGCCCACUGUAUAAACCACCUAGAGCCCAUUCAAAGGACAGCAAACACAUGCUGGUCUGCUGGGAACGGCUACAGGAAGGAAAGUUGUCCCACUUAGAAAGGGCAACUCUGGGGAAAGUGCAGAGCACCCGUCCUGGUCAGCUGGGGGCGCCGUGACACCGUCACAGACUCGGGCCUCCGCAGCAGUUACAUCCUCACAGUUCCGGAGGCUGAAGUCCCAGAUGAAGGUGCUGGCUGAUGUGGCUCCCAGCGAGGGCUUUCUUCCCAACUUGCAGACAGCUGCCUCCUCGCUGCGCCCUCACGUGGCAGAGGGAGAGGAAGAGCUCUCUGUUCUCUUCUUAUAAGGACUCUGGUGGGAUCAGAUCCCCGCUCUUAUGGCCUCCUAUGACAGCUACCUCUAUAAACCCCUCUCUCCAAACAUGAUUUUGAGUUGGUGGUUGAGGCUUUAGCAUCUGAAUUUGGGCAGGACACAAAAGCUCAGUCCGUGGAAGUAGUUAUCCUCUGUGCCUCCCAGUGCGCCAUCUAUGUAACAGGACAUUACGUGGCACAUUGUGAUUGUCUCAGUGUCUGUGGAAGCCCUACACUAUGUACAAUAGGUGUCAAUAUCCCAAAUUUAAAGAAAAGUGCUGAGCCAAGAAUUUGCGAUGUGUGCAUCAGCCUAUUGUCUACCUCCAUAUGACAGAAAAGAUUAAGGCUCCAUUAAGAGGGAGCAAUCAUGGUGAGGUUUCUCUAGAAAACAAAGCCAUGUGCUAAAGUUCCCUCCUAGUACUCCCUACUCAGGCCAACUGUGAACCUCCCAACACAAUGGACAUAUGUGCCCUGAAAUCAGGGACGAUUGUGGAACUGUUAUCUGAUUCACAUUUGGAAGGAAAGAGGCUGUGGCUUGGGGAGGGGGAGGCCAUGUCUGCAGAAGGAGAAGAAAGCUGCACUGAAGAGAGCUGUAUCAAAAGCAGGAUAAAAAUGCAUGCUUCCCAAGGCCCACCACACACAGACCCCUAGGGAGAGCCCAGCCAUAAACCAGCUCGAAAAACUCCCUGUCCAGCGGACCACUGAAGUGGGGCUGCUGAUGGGUGAGCUCAGCAUAAGACUGAGCAGCCCCACCAGCCAUGGGCUAGGAGGUCAUAAGCAGCCAGUCAAGGGAGGUGUCACGCACAGCAGAAGGGUACAGUUGAAAGUCCCCAGUGGGAGGGGCUCAAAGGAACCUAGGAAAGUGCCCGUGAGAGAAAAAGUCAGCACAUAGGUUCUCAGUAUAAAGGUGCUUAUUCCCCAUGUCAUUUGCACUUGCCAAGUAUGGAGGACUUUUUCUGCUCACUGCCUUUCUUCCCAAACCAGCCAAGGGCGUGAACGUGGGAGGGACAAACAGAUGAGGAGAAGCAGGUCUCUGCAGGGCCCCAGCCCCAACCAGGCCUUGGCGGGGGCAAUUGUAGGGAUCAAAAGAGAGACUGGAGCUUGUUCAAAGACUGCACUGGACUUUUUAACAUCUGAAAAUGACCAGAAUAUUCUACAGGAUAUGCAGGAAGGAAGAAGGAAUUGAAAAAGAGUAUAACACAAAGUGGAGAAAAAAUGAAGUUCCUUUCUCUUUGCACUCUACCAAGUCCAGUCAUUCAGAAACGAAACAAAGCAGAUACACACGGGUGUGAUUACCUGUCCAGCUACGCACGGCCCUGUACCUAGACAGGCUCCUCACUUGGCUUAAUGUUCUGCUGUCACCAUCUUGAAAUUCUUAAUAAUUUUAAACAAGAGCACCACGUUUUCAUUUUGCACUGGGCCCUGCAAAUCACGUAGCCAGUCCUGGUUACAUAUAUUACAGGGGUCUAUGUGGCCCCAAGGGGUACAGUGGGGCCAAUCAGUAGGGGGUAGAAAGAAACAGAAUUGAGCUCAACAUUAGGAAGAGCUUUCUAAAACUCAUGGCUAUUGCCCAAAUUGGAAUAGGCUGUGUAAAUAGGUAGAGAAGGAUCGUCACAGCUACUUAGCAGUAAUAUCAGAGGCAUAAUUCAAGCUGUGAAUUCAAGGGAAUUCAAUCCCUUCCAACCCUGAGAUUAUCUAAUUCUUUGAUUAAUGAAUCUCCUUCAAGAUGUCUACUCUACCAGCUUCACCAGGAAAUGAACUCACCAGUGCUGAGACCAGGUGAGAGUAUUCCUGAGGCCAGCCUGUAAUCCUACGUGGUCGGGAGUUUCACUGACUCCCUGGGUUUCUGUCCAAAUCGUGAGCUGUUGUUUUCCUUUAUGAGAACAUUAUUGCCAUUACUCACUGUAUUUUUGAUCAUUGUAAGUUGGAUCUUGUUAUGGCUGGCACACUGUGACUGCUGGCUUCUAAGAAAAAGGCCUAGAAAAUCUCAGAAAGUGUCUUGGACUGGAAUAUGAUUCCAUUAAUCAUAUUUUGACAAAAUAGCAUAAAGAGUCCUGACAAAUAGUGAUCCAAUUUAGUAUUAAAAAUCUGUGUGUGUGUUGGUUAUUAUUGUCAUCAUCAUUAUUAUCCUUGAGGGAGAUGGUUCUAGAAGAAAAGAAAGAGCAUUGCUUCCUGAGACUGUCCAUAUAUAACCUCCCCGGCUGGCAAGUUCCUCUUCUUGAUUCCACCUUGGUGGUGCUGGUCUCUGCAGCCAUAGUCAAGAGAGACAUCAAAGCUCCACUGCAAAGAUGCAUGACUGACACCAAUACCGGAGGCAGGAACCCACAGGAAAUGGGGGUACUUGGUCAAGCUUGGUAGGCCCAUUUCCCUGCAGACUCACUCCGCCUACAUAUUGAAAAACUUUGAGUUUCUUUCAUAUUUUGGCCUUGACCUUUCUAGCAUUUAGCCUUCCCACAAUGGAGGCUAUGUCACUCCGCACGCUGAGCACAGGCCUCCUAAUCAUAGCCAUCCAUUAAGCUGUCAGGAAAAACUCCCAGCUCAAUCGCAGCUUUAUCAGACUCUGGCUGCCAGUGGGGUCACGUUAGGCAUCAAGUCUGACCUGCUCGGAGCCCUUGUCGUGGCGCUGAUCCCACGCUCACUGGGGCCUUUGUGGCUAGGCAGACCAGACAGCCACCUGGUUGCCCCCGGCUCAGUUCCCUCUUCCACUGCAAUGCCCAGACAGGGCAGAGUCAAGAGAAACAAUAGGGCAAACUUCAAGUAAAGCAUUCUCUUCGGGGAAUUUUGUGCACAGGAGUUAUACGGAGUUACCGGAGUCUGAAAUUGGAAAUGGAGACUCUGUUGAGCAGGGAGGAAUCUGGUGUCAGGAGAAAAAAAAGUCUUCAAUUUGGACCUGCUCUCAGAGAUUGUAGAAUCAUAGAAUUUUAUCACUGCCAAGGAAUUUAGUGAUCUUUUUUUUUUUUUUACAGAUUGGUGUAAAUGUGGCCAAGGGACUUGGGUUUUACGUUUAUUGCUGAAUCUGGUUUUCUUGAGUUCCAGGUAAUUCUUGGGAAGCAGGAAAGCCAUCGAACACUGCUUUUUGGGCCAGGAGACACGUGCACUCAACAAACCCUGGUGAGAUCCUGGCUGAGCUCUUGAGUGGCUCCCCAGCCCAGUGGGACAAUGCCGGCACGCCGAGGCUGGCCAGUGUCUCAGUGCUAUCCCUCACCUUGUCGCUGUGGUCCCUCACUUGGAGAGACCUGUCUCCCUGAGCAAGUCCUUCUAUUUCUCCCCUCUCACAGCUGGUCCUCUGAGAGCAGUUUUCAUCAAAGCUUUGAGGUGCUGUUUUGGUUUUUCUCUGUUCUCUUUCCAAUCUGUUGAGUCAUUCCUUUGUUCCGAAGGAGUUUUAAGAUUGUUUCUUAGCUACUAGUCUAAAAGACAAUUUUAGAAGACCAGGAAUUCCACUGUACUCUGUAUUUGACUGUGUUAACUCUCAGAUUUAAAGGGAAAUAAAAAGAUUACUGGGAAUAAAAACCAUAUCUGUUAUUAUAUACAAAUGCUUCCACUACAUUCAUGCUCUAUCACCUUCUCCAUAUUACAUCGGAAUAAUAUGGAAUUCAUUUCAGAGAAAUGAAGUUACCUGCACAAGGUCACUCAGCUAUUACAUGAUUUAAACUCAGAUCCACUGAGUUUGUGUGUUGUGUGUUCAGAACAGGAAUUUCUUAUCUUAAUAAAAUAACCUAAGACAUACUCAAUGCCCAUGGGAACAACUAUCCUCUAACUCAUUAGGAUUUCUCUGUUUGUUUCUGUGGCUUUUCCUUUAAGCUGAAAAUUUCUACCCGUGUUCUUUUUCUUUGGGUAAAAAGAUUCUACCUUUCUCUCUUAGUGUUUAUUCAUCUUUGUCCCUUAAUAUAUUUGGAAAUCUAUGAGGAAAACAAUAUUGUGUUGCUUUCUGGGUUCACUCAUCCAGUUUCUUCCAAUCAAAGCUAUGACUUCCUGAAAACUUAAGCCCAAGGAAAGUAUAAACACCUCCCCAGAUUGCCUUGCUUCUAGAGCGGGGGUCAGCAAACUCGUUGUGCAAAGGGCCAGAUAGUAAAUAUUUUGGACUUUGCCAGUCUCUGUCAUGAUUACCCAACUCUGCCCAAUAGCAUGAAAGCUGUCUUAGAAAAAAUGGA
Molecule: non-coding RNA, 13634 nt
Organism: Manis javanica (Malayan pangolin)
Lineage: Eukaryota; Metazoa; Chordata; Mammalia; Pholidota; Manidae
Source: RefSeq, a predicted model, not a curated record